RNAcentral lists this long non-coding RNA (1029 nucleotides) under Malus domestica (apple). RNAcentral describes it as "long non-coding RNA (MDOM_LNC002503)". The record is from RNAcentral. Lineage: Eukaryota; Viridiplantae; Streptophyta; Magnoliopsida; Rosales; Rosaceae.
AUUCAUCAUAAGAAAAAAAAAACAAAUUUAAGACAAUCUUAAGAAUUAAAUACAAAUCAACACUGUAAAGCAUUUACAAAAACAUAAAUUGGAACUCAGUCCCUUAGAUGUUCUUAGAUAUGCGAUCAUUACCGCAAAUCAUUACAGGUCUGUAGGAAUCAUCACAGUUACUUAAACAAUUACUAGAAUAACAAAUUUAAAAAUAAAUUAAUGUAAUUUGUAAACAUGCACAACAGAAGUAGGUAGUUGCUACAGUGUUCCCAAACAAACAAGAGAAAAUUGAACUCAGUCCCUUAGAUGUUCUUAGAUCUGCGAUCAUAUCCGCAAAUCAUUACAGGUCUGUAGGAAUCAUCACUGUUGCAAUCAAAUUACUGAACCCAAAUGCAUAAUAUUAUUAAAUAUUAACAAAAUAAACGUUUUAAAAAUAAACAACGAAAUUACUUUACGAAAAAAUUUAGUUGCACCAAUAAUCCCCAAAUAAAUAAGAAAAAAUUGGAGGUAAUAAUUUAUGAAGGCAACACGAUUAAUAUUGCUUCAAGGGAACGAGUCACAUGGAACUGAUAAAUCCACAAACCAGAUAAUGAAGCCUAAUAAACUUAAUUGCAAAACCCAAUUCAGAUUGGAUCUUCCUGCAUCUGAUACAAGAAUCUAAAUUCAAGAAAAACGAAAAACCCAGUUCAUAAAAACGAAAAACCCCUAGAACCCAUGAAUCCUCGAACAUUUUCAUCAAAUCCUCGAACAUUUUCAUCAAAAACGAAAAACCCCUAGAACCCAUGAAUCCACAUGCCAUUUCAAGAAGAACCCACAGAUCUUAUCACAAAUAUUGAUCAAUAAACAAAACCCAGAUUAUCGAUUCACUUCAAUCAAUCAAAUGACAUUCAAAACGAUACGAUUUCAAGAACUUCGAAGCCGUAAACAUUGAUACAGAAAGAAAAUCUAAAUCUAGAGAGAGAGAGAGAGAGAGAGAGGAGAGAGAUGUGCUAACCUCAAGAAAAUGGAGGAGCGUAAGAAGAUCUCGCGGCCGACUUC